UUAGACGGUAGGGUAUUGGCCCACCGUGGCAAUGACGGGUAACGGGGAAUUAGGGUUCGAUUCCGGAGAGGGAGCCUGAGAAACGGCUACCACAUCUAAGGAAGGCAGCAGGCGCGCAAAUUACCCAAUCCUAAUACAGGGAGGUAGUGACAAGAAAUAACAAUACAGGACUUUUUGGUUUUGUAAUUGGAAUGAGUUAAGUAUAAACCCCUUUACAAGUAUCAAUUGGAGGGCAAGUCUGGUGCCAGCAGCCGCGGUAAUUCCAGCUCCAAUAGCGUAUAUUAAAGUUGUUGCAGUUAAAAAGCUCGUAGUUGGAUUUCUGUUAAUAAUUUAUAUAAAAUAUUUUGAUGAAUAUUUAUAUAAUAUUAACAUAAUUCAUAUUACUAUAUAUUUUAGUAUAUGAAAUUUUACUUUGAGAAAAUUAGAGUGCUUAAAGCAGGCAUAUGCCUUGAAUACUCCAGCAUGGAAUAAUAUUAAAGAUUUUUAUCUUUCUUAUUGGUUCUAAAAUAAGAAUAAUGAUUAAUAGGGACAGUUGGGGGCAUUUGUAUUUAACAGUCAGAGGUGAA
Molecule: ribosomal RNA, 566 nt
Filed under: Cryptosporidium parvum
Lineage: Eukaryota; Apicomplexa; Conoidasida; Eucoccidiorida; Cryptosporidiidae
Description: SSU rRNA
Rfam family: Eukaryotic small subunit ribosomal RNA
Source: RNAcentral